RNAcentral lists this ribosomal RNA (504 nucleotides) under uncultured bacterium. Its description in RNAcentral is "partial 16S ribosomal RNA". It matches the Rfam family "Bacterial small subunit ribosomal RNA", at positions 29 to 507 of the family's 1533-position model. The record is from RNAcentral.
ACGAACGCUGGCGGCGUGCCUAAUACAUGCAAGUAGAACGCACAGUUUAUACCGUAGCUCGCUACACCAUAGACUGUGAGUUGCGAACGGGUGAGUAACGCGUAGGUAACCUGCCUGGUAGCGGGGGAUAACUAUUGGAAACGAUAGCUAAUACCGCAUAAUAUUGAUUAUUGCAUGAUAAUUGAUUGAAAGAUGCUAUUGCAUCACUACCAGAUGGACCUGCGUUGUAUUAGCUAGUAGGUGAGGUAACGGCUCACCUAGGCGACGAUACAUAGCCGACCUGAGAGGGUGAUCGGCCACACUGGGACUGAGACACGGCCCAGACUCCUACGGGAGGCAGCAGUAGGGAAUCUUCGGCAAUGGACGAAAGUCUGACCGAGCAACGCCGCGUGAGUGAAGAAGGUUUUCGGAUCGUAAAGCUCUGUUGUAAGAGAAGAACGGGUGUGAGAGUGGAAAGUUCACACUGUGACGGUAUCUUACCAGAAAGGGACGGCUAACUACGUG